Molecule: non-coding RNA, 28 nt
Filed under: Rattus norvegicus (Norway rat)
Lineage: Eukaryota; Metazoa; Chordata; Mammalia; Rodentia; Muridae
Source: RNAcentral
UCUUAGUACUGAAGAUGGCAUUGAACGU